RNAcentral lists this ribosomal RNA (253 nucleotides) under uncultured bacterium. RNAcentral describes it as "partial 16S ribosomal RNA". It matches the Rfam family "Bacterial small subunit ribosomal RNA", at positions 524 to 776 of the family's 1533-position model. The record is from RNAcentral.
CACGGGGGGAGCAAGCGUUGUUCGGAAUCACUGGGCGUAAAGGGCGUGUAGGCGGUCAGGUAAGUGGGAUGUGAAAUGCCCCGGCUCACCCGGGGACCGGCAUCCCAUACUGCUUGGCUUGAGUACGGGAGAGGAUGUGGGAAUUCCUGGUGUAGCGGUGAAAUGCGUAGAUAUCAGGAGGAACACCGGUGGCGAAGGCGCACAUCUGGCCCGAUACUGACGCUGAGGCGCGAAAGCUAGGGGAGAAAACGGG